This 95-nucleotide transfer RNA is filed under the name Burkholderia cenocepacia. RNAcentral describes it as "tRNA-Asp(gtc)". The record is from RNAcentral. Lineage: Bacteria; Pseudomonadati; Pseudomonadota; Betaproteobacteria; Burkholderiales; Burkholderiaceae.
GCCGGCGAGGCGCUUGAUCUUCGCGUCGUGCUCGCUGUCGAUCAGCACCGGGUUCACGUUCGACAGCCCGCUGCGUGCGAGGCGCGGCUUCAGCU